Molecule: ribosomal RNA, 466 nt
Filed under: uncultured bacterium
Lineage: Bacteria
Description: bacterial SSU rRNA
Rfam family: Bacterial small subunit ribosomal RNA
Source: RNAcentral
CCAGACUCCUACGGGAGGCAGCAGUGAGGAAUAUUGGUCAAUGGGCGGAAGCCUGAACCAGCCAAGUCGCGUGAGGGAUUAAGGCCCUGCGGGUCGUAAACCUCUUUUGCCGGGGAGCAGUGGUCCGGACGCGUCCGGACCGGGAGAGUACCCGGAGAAAAAGCAUCGGCUAACUACGUGCCAGCAGCCGCGGUAAUACGUAGGUGGCAAGCGUUGUCCGGAUUUACUGGGUGUAAAGGGCGUGCAGCCGGGAAGACAAGUCAGAUGUGAAAUCCCGCGGCUCAACCGCGGAACUGCAUUUGAAACUGUUUUUCUUGAGUAUCGGAGAGGUAAUCGGAAUUCCUAGUGUAGCGGUGAAAUGCGUAGAUAUUAGGAAGAACACCAGUGGCGAAGGCGGAUUACUGGACGACAACUGACGGUGAGGCGCGAAAGCGUGGGGAGCAAACAGGAUUAGAUACCCCCGUAC